AGGCAGCAGUCGGGGGAAUAUUGCACAAUGGGCGCAAGCCUGAUGCAGCCAUGCCGCGUGUGUGAAGAAGGCCUUCGGGUUGUAAAGCACUUUCAGUUGUGAGGAAGGUGGUGUCGUUAAUAGCGGCAUCAUUUGACGUUAGCAACAGAAGAAGCACCGGCUAACUCCGUGCCAGCAGCCGCGGUAAUACGGAGGGUGCGAGCGUUAAUCGGAAUUACUGGGCGUAAAGCGCAUGCAGGUGGUUUGUUAAGUCAGAUGUGAAAGCCCGGGGCUCAACCUCGGAACUGCAUUUGAAACUGGCAGACUAGAGUACUGUAGAGGGGGUAGAAUUUCAGGUGUAGCGGUGAAAUGCGUAGAGAUCUGAAGGAAUACCGGUGGCGAAGGCGGCCCCCUGGACAGAUACUGACACUCAGAUGCGAAAGCGUGGGGAGCAAACAGGAUUAGAUACCCUGGUAG
RNAcentral lists this ribosomal RNA (456 nucleotides) under uncultured bacterium. RNAcentral's name for it is "bacterial SSU rRNA". It matches the Rfam family "Bacterial small subunit ribosomal RNA", at positions 346 to 793 of the family's 1533-position model. The record is from RNAcentral.